GAACCUUUAAAUGUAGAUUUUAAAGAAAUUAGAUUAUAGCAAUUAUAAUUUAUUCAUGGUUUAAAUAGCAUGCAUGUACAGUAGCUGCGAAUAUCAAAGAAUAUAUUAUGGGCAAAUUAGCAAAGAAAACCACUUGAGAUUUGGCAUGAUAUGAUGAUACACACUUCAGCUCCUCCUUUUGGUCAAAGAGCUUUUCCUUUUAUGGAACACAUGUUUUUAUCAAAAUGAUGUCUCCAGAUUUUGAGCUAUAAAAGGAUCAAAAGGUUGAUUUUAUAAAAUUCAGGAACCAAAUUUUUUUAUUUUGAAAGAGGAACAAAGUGCAUAUUAGACCCAAUCUAAGGGUUUUUUCUCCCCCUACAAUAUGCAGCAUUCAAAAAUAUGCUGAUGGGGAGAACAAUCACCUGAACAAUUCUGG
Molecule: unclassified non-coding RNA, 415 nt
Filed under: Hevea brasiliensis (rubber tree)
Lineage: Eukaryota; Viridiplantae; Streptophyta; Magnoliopsida; Malpighiales; Euphorbiaceae
Source: RNAcentral